This 1278-nucleotide ribosomal RNA is filed under the name Bacillus amyloliquefaciens. RNAcentral describes it as "bacterial SSU rRNA". It matches the Rfam family "Bacterial small subunit ribosomal RNA", at positions 120 to 1384 of the family's 1533-position model. Lineage: Bacteria; Bacillati; Bacillota; Bacilli; Caryophanales; Bacillaceae. The record is from RNAcentral.
GGUAACCUGCCUGUAAGACUGGGAUAACUCCGGGAAACCGGGGCUAAUACCGGAUGGUUGUUUGAACCGCAUGGUUCAGACAUAAAAGGUGGCUUCGGCUACCACUUACAGAUGGACCCGCGGCGCAUUAGCUAGUUGGUGAGGUAACGGCUCACCAAGGCAACGAUGCGUAGCCGACCUGAGAGGGUGAUCGGCCACACUGGGACUGAGACACGGCCCAGACUCCUACGGGAGGCAGCAGUAGGGAAUCUUCCGCAAUGGACGAAAGUCUGACGGAGCAACGCCGCGUGAGUGAUGAAGGUUUUCGGAUCGUAAAGCUCUGUUGUUAGGGAAGAACAAGUGCCGUUCAAAUAGGGCGGCACCUUGACGGUACCUAACCAGAAAGCCACGGCUAACUACGUGCCAGCAGCCGCGGUAAUACGUAGGUGGCAAGCGUUGUCCGGAAUUAUUGGGCGUAAAGGGCUCGCAGGCGGUUUCUUAAGUCUGAUGUGAAAGCCCCCGGCUCAACCGGGGAGGGUCAUUGGAAACUGGGGAACUUGAGUGCAGAAGAGGAGAGUGGAAUUCCACGUGUAGCGGUGAAAUGCGUAGAGAUGUGGAGGAACACCAGUGGCGAAGGCGACUCUCUGGUCUGUAACUGACGCUGAGGAGCGAAAGCGUGGGGAGCGAACAGGAUUAGAUACCCUGGUAGUCCACGCCGUAAACGAUGAGUGCUAAGUGUUAGGGGGUUUCCGCCCCUUAGUGCUGCAGCUAACGCAUUAAGCACUCCGCCUGGGGAGUACGGUCGCAAGACUGAAACUCAAAGGAAUUGACGGGGGCCCGCACAAGCGGUGGAGCAUGUGGUUUAAUUCGAAGCAACGCGAAGAACCUUACCAGGUCUUGACAUCCUCUGACAAUCCUAGAGAUAGGACGUCCCCUUCGGGGGCAGAGUGACAGGUGGUGCAUGGUUGUCGUCAGCUCGUGUCGUGAGAUGUUGGGUUAAGUCCCGCAACGAGCGCAACCCUUGAUCUUAGUUGCCAGCAUUCAGUUGGGCACUCUAAGGUGACUGCCGGUGACAAACCGGAGGAAGGUGGGGAUGACGUCAAAUCAUCAUGCCCCUUAUGACCUGGGCUACACACGUGCUACAAUGGGCAGAACAAAGGGCAGCGAAACCGCGAGGUUAAGCCAAUCCCACAAAUCUGUUCUCAGUUCGGAUCGCAGUCUGCAACUCGACUGCGUGAAGCUGGAAUCGCUAGUAAUCGCGGAUCGGCAUGCCGCGGUGAAUACGUUCCCGGGCCUUGU